UCGAAAGAUAAUAGAAUAGAUAACCAACCGUUCGAGUACUUAACCCGUUAAACAUUUUGAUCAAAACGUCACAACUUACUUCGAGCCACUGCACGCGUUGACCCAAUUAUGAUGGGCCGUGCCAAGCUAGAAUUUUAAGCUCAAAGAACCACGAGGACUUGCUCGGGCAAUUGGAUUUAUUGAAAAUAUUGUAUUAUUAGGAGUAAACUCUACU
RNAcentral lists this long non-coding RNA (214 nucleotides) under Olea europaea (common olive). RNAcentral describes it as "long non-coding RNA (OEUR_LNC009730)". Lineage: Eukaryota; Viridiplantae; Streptophyta; Magnoliopsida; Lamiales; Oleaceae. The record is from RNAcentral.